This 1082-nucleotide long non-coding RNA is filed under the name Papio anubis (olive baboon). RNAcentral describes it as "lncRNA (ENSPANG00000041290.1)". Lineage: Eukaryota; Metazoa; Chordata; Mammalia; Primates; Cercopithecidae. The record is from RNAcentral.
UUUCCAAAAUAUAAAUUCAGAACUAUGCCUCCUAUCUGACUGUGUUCUUUUAUCAUCCACUAGUCCACAGACAAAUGAAUUUAAAGGAGCAACCGAGGAGACACUUACGAAUGAUAUGUGAGUAGUAAAUGGUUAAAUAAAGACACCCAUCAGCAUAAGUGUGCAUAGAACUAUACACACACACAGGCACAUGAGCAAAUAUAUCCAUCCAUCCAUCCAUCCAUCCUUCCAUCCAUCCAUCCACACUUCUCUUCAACACAUGUACACAAAUUAAUCCAUGCACAUGGUGGAAACUUAGAACAAGGAGAAAAGAGACAGAUGGACAUUUGUGGAACUUAGGAGCCUGUCUGGGCAUAUAGAUUUUUUUUUUUUUAAUGGAGUUUCCAAUUCUUCUCAUUGUAGCAUUUGCUAGUAACUUUGCAUCCUUCUUUGGUGGAGUUGUAUAAAGAGGAGCAGGUCAUAGGAGAGUUGCUUCCUCCUGUUAGUGUAUUUGUCACCCUUAGUUCCUAGUAUGCAGUUUUUUUAUGGGACUCAGAUUUCCUGACAGAAAUUAAUUGGUUUCUGUCUAGAGUAAUAAAAGCUAAUUUUUCCAAAAAAGUGAAUUUAGAAUCGUGUCUCCUAGCUGACUAUAUUCUUUUAUCAUCCUCUAGCCCACACAGCAGUGAAUGUAAAGGAGCAGCCCUGGUGUCACCUAUCAGUAAAAGCACUGCCUUCAGUGAAAUGACAACAAGUAACACAUGAAGGGACUUUCAACAAAAUUUGAGGUUUAAGUAAAUAAAAAGCUGGAUGUAAACAUAUAUAUGUAAAUACACACAUAGACACACACAAAAGCAUACAUGUAGAAAAGGGAGAUUCAGAUUUGGGAAGUUCAUUUUCUGGAGCAUCCAUAACAAUACAGAGUGUUUUAGACACUGUUUUCUAAAGUCUUAUUACUGUAGUAUCUGCAGUUCCCUUUCUUUCUUCGAUCUAGUUGGAUAAAAGAGGAAUAGGUCUUAAGAGGAAUGCUUCUUAUUCCUAUUCCAUUGGUCACCCUUUUAUUUAGCAGCACCCUGAAACCUUAGGAAAAUAUGAGAAUGUGUAUA